RNAcentral lists this ribosomal RNA (446 nucleotides) under Streptococcus mutans. RNAcentral describes it as "bacterial SSU rRNA". It matches the Rfam family "Bacterial small subunit ribosomal RNA", at positions 28 to 456 of the family's 1533-position model. The record is from RNAcentral. Lineage: Bacteria; Bacillati; Bacillota; Bacilli; Lactobacillales; Streptococcaceae.
GACGAACGCUGGCGGCGUGCCUAAUACAUGCAAGUGGGACGCAAGGGAACACACUGUGCUUGCACACCGUGUUUUCUUGAGUCGCGAACGGGUGAGUAACGCGUAGGUAACCUGCCUAUUAGCGGGGGAUAACUAUUGGAAACGAUAGCUAAUACCGCAUAAUAUUAAUUAUUGCAUGAUAAUUGAUUGAAAGAUGCAAGCGCAUCACUAGUAGAUGGACCUGCGUUGUAUUAGCUAGUUGGUAAGGUAAGAGCUUACCAAGGCGACGAUACAUAGCCGACCUGAGAGGGUGAUCGGCCACACUGGGACUGAGACACGGCCCAGACUCCUACGGGAGGCAGCAGUAGGGAAUCUUCGGCAAUGGACGAAAGUCUGACCGAGCAACGCCGCGUGAGUGAAGAAGGUUUUCGGAUCGUAAAGCUCUGUUGUAAGUCAAGAACGUGUGU